UGAGGAAUAUUGGUCAAUGGGCGCAAGCCUGAACCAGCCAUGCCGCGUGCAGGAUGACUGCCCUAUGGGUUGUAAACUGCUUUUAUACAGGAAGAAACAGUCCCUCGUGAGGGGCCUUGACGGUACUGUAAGAAUAAGCACCGGCUAACUCCGUGCCAGCAGCCGCGGUAAUACGGAGGGUGCAAGCGUUAUCCGGAAUCAUUGGGUUUAAAGGGUCCGCAGGCGGUCAAUUAAGUCAGAGGUGAAAUCCUACAGCUUAACUGUAGAACUGCCUUUGAUACUGGUUGACUUGAGUUAUACGGAAGUAGGUAGAAUGUGUAGUGUAGCGGUGAAAUGCAUAGAUAUUACACAGAAUACCGAUUGCGAAGGCAGCCUACUACGUAUAUACUGACGCUCAUGGACGAAAGCGUGGGGAGCGAACAGG
Molecule: ribosomal RNA, 424 nt
Filed under: uncultured bacterium
Lineage: Bacteria
Description: bacterial SSU rRNA
Rfam family: Bacterial small subunit ribosomal RNA
Source: RNAcentral